UGUUCCCUGGGAUUGGCUUUGGGCCUUUCCUGCGCAGCUUAGGUGGAAGGCGAAGAAGGCCCCCUUCCGGGGGGGGGGGGGGUGAGCCAUCAGUGAGAUACCACUCUAGAAGAGCUCGGAUUCUAACCUUGUGUCAGACCCGCGGGCCAAGGGACAGUCUCAGGUAGACA
RNAcentral lists this non-coding RNA (170 nucleotides) under Triticum aestivum (bread wheat). RNAcentral's name for it is "Bacterial large subunit ribosomal RNA". It matches the Rfam family "Bacterial large subunit ribosomal RNA", at positions 2105 to 2267 of the family's 2925-position model. Lineage: Eukaryota; Viridiplantae; Streptophyta; Magnoliopsida; Poales; Poaceae. The record is from Rfam by way of RNAcentral.